This is a non-coding RNA of Acanthosepion pharaonis, 113 nucleotides long. The record is from the annotation of a GenBank genome assembly. Lineage: Eukaryota; Metazoa; Mollusca; Cephalopoda; Sepiida; Sepiidae.
UACGUCUAUAUCACGUUGAAACACCGGUUCUCGGAUGAACAUCGAAGUUAAGCUACAUCGAGCCUGGUCAGUACCUAGAUAGGUGACAACUUAGAAAUACCAAGUGCUGUAAG